Molecule: non-coding RNA, 598 nt
Organism: Gasterosteus aculeatus aculeatus (three-spined stickleback)
Lineage: Eukaryota; Metazoa; Chordata; Actinopteri; Perciformes; Gasterosteidae
Source: RefSeq, a predicted model, not a curated record
AUAGAGAUCCCACGGCACAUGUCCACAAAGGACUUGGUGGCAAAUAGCCUCGCUUCACAAGCAGUUCGGCAGCAGGCAGAACCGCUUCUACUAGAUCAAUAAUACUUGGGGAAAGGAGAGAUUCUUAUAGUGGAAGGUGCUUGCCUAAGGACCGAGAAAUCAAAGAAAAGGAUUGCAUAGCAGGAGUUAAUUUCUGAGAGGGACUUCAGUGCAGAGUACAUCAUGACUUGUUUGCUUCCACCGCUUCGAUUUCCUGCAAUUCCCGGAAUCCCUGCUGACAAUCCCCAGACAACAUGUGGAUUAUUUGUACGGGUUAUUUGUGUGUAGGUGAAGACUAUAAUAGAGGUGGAAUAAUAAACCCAGAGGGAGCAAUGAGUCCUGUUCUGCAGAUGAAUACACAGGAUGUCUUGUGACAGGAUUGCAUUGUGGUCCAUUAAGGACCCCCGAGUAAUUUAUCACUUUAUUGUCCCGCUUUGGUUUAGCUAAUGGGGAAAAGAAUGUGGGACUGGUAUCAAAAAUGGAUGUUUCCUGUUGAUGUAUUAGAUCGUAAAAGUUCUCCAUUUCCUUGAGGUUUCAGUUAAAAAACAUCUCCUGGUGA